RNAcentral lists this long non-coding RNA (315 nucleotides) under Capsicum annuum. RNAcentral's name for it is "long non-coding RNA (CANN_LNC002650)". Lineage: Eukaryota; Viridiplantae; Streptophyta; Magnoliopsida; Solanales; Solanaceae. The record is from RNAcentral.
UAUUCCCACAUCGUAAGGUCUGGGGAGGGUAAGAUGUACGCAGUCUAUACCACUACCUCCGGAGAAGUAGCAAGGAUGUUUCCGAUAGACCCCCGGCUCAAGAUAAGAUGAGUAAUCACAACCAUACAAAAUGCAUGGAACAAGAUGGCAAGACAUAAAAACGCCCCUACAAUGAAAAGUAAACAAAGAAUAGUAGGCACUAGUAAUACAGCAUGCAACAAGUUAGUCUAACAAGAGUAAUACACCAAACAGGUAAUGCCCUACCCUACCUACUCUAAUAGUCACUAGCCUUCUAUCCUAAUACGCAUCCUCCAG